Molecule: non-coding RNA, 2775 nt
Organism: Camellia sinensis
Lineage: Eukaryota; Viridiplantae; Streptophyta; Magnoliopsida; Ericales; Theaceae
Source: RefSeq, a predicted model, not a curated record
GCAAAAAGUUAUUUUACAGCUUAUUUACCAAACACUACUCUGCUGCUUAAAUCUAUAAUCUCACAACUACACCAAACAGGUUACCAGCUUGUGCUCACAGCUAUAAGCUAUAAUUUGUUAAGUUAUAUUCUAUAAUUACUUUCCUACAGCUCUACCAAAAGGGUGUUGUCUGGUGCUGUAAUUGCUUACAACCCACUAUAAGAAAAGAGGGUAUAGAACACGGAAACAUUUGCGACGACACCAUUUACUGUCACAAAAAGUGAGUUUUUGCGACGGCACCACUUGCCGUCGCCAAUAAAUCGGAUUUCAGCGACGACACCAUUUCCCGUCGCAAAUGAACAAGUUUUUGCGACGGCAACGACAGUCGCAAAUAAUUCAAGUGUUUUGAGACAGCAACCCUUGUUGUCACAAAUAAAGAUAUUUUUGCGACGGUAUGAAACUUGACGUCACAAAAAAAAAACCCCCCAAAAUCUGGGCUUAGCUAUUUUUUUCCCCCCCUUAACCAAAAAUCCCUAAUCUUCCCCCCCUUGAACCAAAAAUCCCUAAUCUUUCCCCAUCUCCUCUCUCUCUCUCUCUUCCCCCCCUUCCAAGCCAAAAAUCCCUAAUCUUUCCCCAUCUCUUCUUACGACUCUCUCUCUCUCUUGACGGCGAGCAGCGUGCGACGGCGGUGAGCCAGCAACGAUGGUGCGGCGUCUCUCUUCAACUCUCUCAGUCAGUCUCAAUCUCUGAACCAGGUGUUUCUGGUACCAGUCUUCUCAAUGCUGUCAAUUUGAUUGCUUAUAAUGUGUUCUACACUAGUAUCCCUGUUUCAGUCAGUCUCGUGGACAAAGAUCUUAGUGAAGGAACUGUGAUGCAGCACCCACAGAUUUUAUAUUACUGCCAAGCAGGGAGGUUAGGAUUUUUCUGCACUUAAUCCACAUGAUUCUUUUUCUUGCAUGAUUACAACAAAGAGAUGGCAUGGACAGUGAUAUAUUAGGACUUGCCUCUUUGAAUAUGUAUCAUCACUUUAUUAUAUUUGAUGCCUUCUUUAUUGUUCCACCAAUAUGGUCCCACAAUCUAUGGUGCUGGAGUCCACUAGCUACUUAAUUUAAGAAUCUAAAGCCCUUUUCUUAUGAGUUGUUGAGAUGUGCCAUUUUCUAAUUAGACUAGAUCAAUGGUAGCCUUGAAGAUUUGGCACCAUUUCACCCAUCAGAAACAAUUGUCUUCCUAUCUAAAAAGGUAACUUUAAACAAAAUGUGAACACAAAAUCCUAUUGUCCAUCCUCCUUCAUGGGUUUCCCGACCGCAUUGUCUCUGAUGCCAUUGACAAAUAUUAGUUUUCUGCGAUAACCAUGAGACCACAUCUUCAGGUAGGCUGAAAAGCCAUACUUGCUUUUGAUCUGAAUAGCAGCAGGGGCAUAUUAUUAAUAAGUAAUUAAAUAACAACAAGCACCUUUCGAUUAAUCAAAUCCAACGUGCUUUGGAUGCAACUCAAUUCAAAUUCUUGUCUGGCAAUUCUUUUCUUGUUUAGUGGUCUUUUCUUGCCAAGAAAUUUAGCAAUAGGCUUGAAUUUGAACCAUCUGUUGGUCUGCAAAACUUUAUCCUCUUUAUUUAUCUUCUCUGUAUAUUCUUACAAAUGCUCAAUUCUUUUUCUAAUUUCUCUAAUACUCGAAAUUUCAACAGAAAAUGGGUAGCAAUAUUGUGGGUAGCAAUAUUGUGUUCUCUGUGAAACGAUUGAUCUUUGUCAUCUUCUCCUCCUUCGUGAAGAAACGAACAGAAAACCCUAUUUUCAUGAUGAUAGAUAAGAUAGGGUUUGCAGAGGAGUUAGGGAUUUUAGGAACGGUUAAGCUGUGAUGAUUUCUAUACAAUAUAUAUAAAGCGGAAUUUUAGGAACAGUAAAGCUGUGAUGAUUUUUAUAUCUAUACAAUCUAUAUAAAGCAUGGAGCCAAAUAUGAACAGUAUUUUUUGAAUGGUUAAAAAGUCGAUUUUGCCCUUGUGCUUUCAAAAUUUGUUUGCUUAUAGUUGUUUAUGAAAAGAUCCAUAGUAUACCCUCUCUCUCUAUAUAUCCUCAAAACAUCCAAAGAGAAUACUAGACUUAUAAAGGCGUCCAAAAACUUUCACAGCUUCACAUCUAGUUCAAUUGACACAAAACAAAAAAAGAGAGCCUAGUUUUCAUAAUAAAUUCACUCAACAAAGUUUAUUGAUCAAUUCAAAUGAACAAUAUAAUUUAUAUCAAUAUCACCAAAAUCACAACCAAAAAAUAGAAAUAAAUCCCUUUUUUUUUCUUUUUUUUUUUUCAAGAGUAGUACCCUAAUCUCUACUUCUAGUAGAAACCUAUUUAGUACAUACAAAUUCUAGCUUUAAGAGUCAAUUCCAAAAAAACCUAAUAAUUAGUACGUACAUACAAUUUUCAGAAGUGAAAGGAUUCUUACUUAUUUAUUUAUUUAUUUUUUUGGGGGGGGAAGGAGGCUCAUUGUCUGAUCCAAAUCAUCUCCGGAAACAAUUGCCUAUACCAUCCACUAAAUAUAAAAGGAAGUGCUAGAAAAAAGUUCAAAAAAGUUGGGCAAUAACCAAUCAGUUGUAUUUUAUUGAAUUAGUAAUGACUUAAAUUUCCUAAACCAAUCAAUUAACUUUGGCAAUAACCAUACAAUUACAUAACCAUGUGAACAAAGGAAGAGAAUAGAAGAGAGAGAGAGGAGGAGGGUUCUCUAAGAGGGAUAUAGAGAGAGAGAGUGGGUAUACUAUGGAUCUUUUCAUAAACAACUGUAAGCAAACAAAUUUUGAAGUCAGUUAUAAA